This is an RNA transcript of Episyrphus balteatus (marmalade hoverfly), 2296 nucleotides long. It is a transcript of the gene named protein I'm not dead yet-like, with no coding region annotated. The transcript has 16 exons. The record is from RefSeq and is a predicted model, not a curated record. Lineage: Eukaryota; Metazoa; Arthropoda; Insecta; Diptera; Syrphidae.
CACUUUUAUAAAUUUGACUCACUGAAGUUUUUUUUUCGAAGAUAAAACUUAAGCUUCGAAAUACUUGUCAAAUCGGAUUCACUUUUAUUUUAAUUUUAAUAGAAAUUCAGCUUUCAAUUAUGGAAUCGCAAGAUGAUAAACCGGGCAUUAGGCAAUGUUUACUAGUUCACUGGCGAGGCGUCAUCAUAUCUGUCUUGCCUUUAAUAUUUUUAAUCGCUACGUUUAUCAAUGAUACUCUGCCAUUUCGCUGUCUAUAUGUCAUAAUUUCCAUGUUUAUUUGUUGGUUGACAGAAAUAUUUCCGUUUGCAAUAACUGCAAUGUUCCCAAUUGUUGCAUUUCCAUUGAUGAACAUACUAAGCUCCGAUAAAACAUGUUCAUUAUAUUUCAAAGAAACUUUGGUAAUGUUUAUAAUAAGUAUUAUGAUAGCCUUAACAAUGGAAUUUACAAAUCUACACACUCGAUUGGCUAUUAAUAUCAUUAAGUUUUAUGGGUCUUGUCCAAGGAGGUUGCACCUUCUUUUAGUUGUGGUUACAGCUUUUCUUUCAAUGCUUAUACCAAAUGCUGCCUGUGUAGCUUUGAUGUAUCCUUUGACGAACGCUAUUUUGGAUAGACUUUCAAGUCAAGGAAUGUGUAAACUAUAUGAAGAUGAUAGCGCAGAUACCCCCAAAACAGAAAAAAAACCUUCCAAAUUAGCAAUUUGUUUUUAUUUAAGUGUUGCUUAUGCAUCUUCAAUGGGCGGUAGUGCAAAUUUAAUGGGAACUCCAGCAAAUCUCGAAUUCAUCGAAGUUUAUGAAGAUAAAUUCCCUGAUAGCCCCGAUGACAUUGACUUUGGGAAUUUUUUAUCAUAUGCCUUGCCACAAAUGAUUGUUUACACAGGUUUGAUGUAUUUAGUUAUGGAAUUUACGCACAUGGGACUGUUUCGAUCCAAAAGCCCAGAAGCAAUGGCUUUGCGGUUUAGUAGUGAGGAAAAAUUAGCUGCGCAACGAAUGGCAAAUGAUAAGUACGAAGAAAAUGGUUCCAUUAAUGUGAGCCAGUGCAUUACGGCAACACUUAUCAUUGCUAUGAUAUGCAUGAUUUUUACCAGGGAACCUGAAUUUUCUGAGGGAUGGGGAGAACUUGUAAACGGAAAAGAAGUUUUAAACGCCUCUGUUACCACAAUUAUCAUAUUUUUGAUAUUCAGUUUGCCAGCAAAGAUAACAUUUCUGAAAUGUUGGGAUGUAAGCUCAGUUGGAACAACACCUGCAUUGUUGAAUUGGAAAUUUGUGAAUUCAGUUCUUCCUUGGAAUUUAGUUUUUAUCAUUGGUUGCGGAGGAGCGAUUGCUGAAGGCUGCAAAACCAGUGGAUUUCAAUCACUUCUUGGAGACUCACUUUCAUGCUUAAAACAUCUGCCAGCUCCUUUGAGCUUAUUAAUUGCAAUCAUAUUUAUGGAAAUAUGUACAAACUUAACAGUUAAUGCAGCAGUGAUUAGUGUAAUCGCACCAGGAGUUUUACAAUUGGCUGCAGAGUCAAAAGCUCAUCCUUUGUACUUUAUGUUUCCCGUUGGUUUAGCUGGAAGCAUGGCAUUUUUAAUGCCAUCAGCAACAGCUCCAAAUGCAUUAAUGGCAGCAUAUGCCAAUAUUAAGCCCUGUGACAUGAUUUUUGUAGGUUUUAGCUGGAAUCGGACCAUCUAUUGCGUCAGUAAUAACAAUUUAUAUUUUUUCACAAAGCUGGGCAUUAUUGAUUUAUCCUGAUUUGCUGAAAUAUCCUGAAUGGGCAGAUGGAAAUGCAACUCUUCCAAUUGUUGAAGAUAAUGAAUAGAUGUUAAUAUAUUCCAAUUAGGGGUCUUACAUUUCCAGCCUUGAACUGAUGGAAAGGGAGAGCUUGUAGCAAUCAUUGUGAAACCUUGCUGAACUUGAAUUGGAAGCUUUAUAAUUCCCCCGGGGAAGUCAAUGUUGUCUAAAUGAGUAAAUUAUCAUAAAAAUACCAAACGGAAUAAUUUUCAAAAAAAAAUAAAAAACUACAAAGAACAAAAACGAAAUACGAAAAAAAUUUCACGCCACAACAAGCGCCUUAAACAAUCUAACAGCUCAAUCGACAGCCACAACUUAUCACCAGGACCACGCAUCAUCAGAAAAUUAUAAAAAGAAUCCCAGGCCCAACUAACACAACAACAUCAACAGGAAGCUUCUUUUCAGAGAGCAGAGAACGAACAGAGAGAAGAGUUGGGGCCUCCUUUUCUACCUUGUGGCACUUCGUUCAAAAUGCAUUCUUAGUUUUCAAUGUUAAUGGGCCAAUUAAAAACAAUGUUUAUAUUGAA